RNAcentral lists this ribosomal RNA (320 nucleotides) under uncultured eukaryote. RNAcentral's name for it is "partial 18S ribosomal RNA". It matches the Rfam family "Eukaryotic small subunit ribosomal RNA", at positions 1470 to 1796 of the family's 1831-position model. The record is from RNAcentral.
CCCCUAGAUGUUCUGGGCCGCACGCGCGCUACACUGAACAGUUCAACAAGUCUUAACCUUGGCCGAUAGGUCUGGGUAAUCUUUGAACGCUGUUCGUGAUUGGGAUAGACCUUUGCAAUUAUGGGUCUUCAACGAGGCAUUCCUAGUAAACGCAAGUCAUCAGCUUGCAUUGAUUACGUCCCUGCCCUUUGUACACACCGCCCGUCGCACCUACCGAUUGAAUGGUCCGGUGAAAUCUCGGGACGGCGGCUUGGUCGCUUGCGUCCGACUGCUGAAACUUGAUUAAACCAUAUCAUUUAGAGGAAGGUGAAGUCGUANCA